This 321-nucleotide ribosomal RNA is filed under the name uncultured Allapsidae. RNAcentral describes it as "SSU rRNA". The stretch from base 57 to 321 matches the Rfam family "Eukaryotic small subunit ribosomal RNA", at positions 689 to 955 of the family's 1831-position model. The record is from RNAcentral. Lineage: Eukaryota; Cercozoa; Glissomonadida; Viridiraptoridae.
GAUUUCUGACUUGGCGCACCUGGCCCGCCGCCGUUAGGCGUGUGAGUGCCGGGAUGCGCCUGUCACUUUUCUGGUCAACUAUUAUGCUCUUCAUUGGGUGUGAUAGGUAGCCAGAUAUUUUACUUUGAAAAAAUUAGAGUGUUUAAAGCAGGCGUUUGCUAUGAAUACAUUAGCAUGGAAUAAUAAGUUAGGACUUCGGUUCUAUUUUGUUGGUUUCUAGGACUGAAGUAAUGAUUGAUAGGGAUAGUUGGGGGUGCUAGUAUUCAGCGGCCAGAGGUGAAAUUCUCGGAUUCGCUGAAGACUAACUUAUGCGAAAGCAUU